Molecule: transfer RNA, 70 nt
Filed under: Dipodomys ordii (Ord's kangaroo rat)
Lineage: Eukaryota; Metazoa; Chordata; Mammalia; Rodentia; Heteromyidae
Rfam family: tRNA
About the family: Transfer RNA (tRNA) molecules are approximately 80 nucleotides in length.
Source: Rfam by way of RNAcentral
GGGGAUGUGGCUCAGUGGUAGAGUGCUUGCCUAGCAUGCAUGAAGCCCUGGGUUCAAUUCCUCAGUACCA